RNAcentral lists this ribosomal RNA (253 nucleotides) under uncultured bacterium. Its description in RNAcentral is "partial 16S ribosomal RNA". It matches the Rfam family "Bacterial small subunit ribosomal RNA", at positions 524 to 776 of the family's 1533-position model. The record is from RNAcentral.
UACGUAGGGGGCGAGCGUUGUUCGGAUUUACUGGGCGUAAAGGGCGCGCAGGCGGCUACAUUUGUCAGGCGUGAAAGCCCCGGGCUUAACCUGGGAACUGCGUUUGAUACGGUGUGGCUAGAGUUCGGGAGAGGAGAGUGGAAUUCCCAGUGUAGAGGUGAAAUUCGUAGAUAUUCGCAAGAACACCAGUGGCGAAGGCGGCUCACUGGUCCGGUACUGACGCUGAGGUGCGAAAGCGUGGGGAGCAAACAGG